CCUACGGGAGGCAGCAGUGAGGAAUAUUGGUCAAUGGGCGGGAGCCUGAACCAGCCAAGCCGCGUGAGGGAAGAAGGUACAGCGUAUCGUAAACCUCUUUUGUCGGGGAGCAAAGAGAGUCACGUGUGGCUCAUUGAGAGUACCCGAAGAAAAAGCAUCGGCUAACUCCGUGCCAGCAGCCGCGGUAAUACGGAGGAUGCGAGCGUUAUCCGGAUUUAUUGGGUUUAAAGG
RNAcentral lists this ribosomal RNA (231 nucleotides) under uncultured bacterium. Its description in RNAcentral is "partial 16S ribosomal RNA". It matches the Rfam family "Bacterial small subunit ribosomal RNA", at positions 338 to 566 of the family's 1533-position model. The record is from RNAcentral.